GCCCUCUUAGCUCAGUGGUAGAGCGCACCACUCGUAUCGGGUGUUGGCCUGAAGAUCAUGGUGAGGUCGGUUGUUCAAUCCAGCCAGGGGGCA
This is a transfer RNA of Coprinopsis cinerea okayama7#130, 93 nucleotides long. It matches the Rfam family "tRNA". From Rfam's summary of the family: Transfer RNA (tRNA) molecules are approximately 80 nucleotides in length. Their secondary structure includes four short double-helical elements and three loops (D, anti-codon, and T loops). Lineage: Eukaryota; Fungi; Basidiomycota; Agaricomycetes; Agaricales; Psathyrellaceae. The record is from Rfam.